UUUUUUCCUGCACUUUGCUGAAAACAAUAUUGAGAGAGAAGAGAGAGAACCAUGUUUUUUUCUUUUGUUUUUUCUAUUCCACAUGUCAACGUACUAGUGGUUCUUUUAUGAAUUUUUUAUUUAAAAAAACAGUUGAUGUUUGUUGAGAGUUGACCAACCCCCUCCUUCCUAUUUUUGUCCAUUUAUUUUUUUAUUUUUUUAAUAUUAACCUUUUUAAUUAAAUUAGGUUUUAGUUUGUGUUGAGACAUUUGGAUUUGCCCCA
This 262-nucleotide long non-coding RNA is filed under the name Lathyrus oleraceus (garden pea). RNAcentral describes it as "Pisum sativum (pea) long non-coding RNA (PSAT_LNC008900)". The record is from RNAcentral. Lineage: Eukaryota; Viridiplantae; Streptophyta; Magnoliopsida; Fabales; Fabaceae.